This 858-nucleotide long non-coding RNA is filed under the name Podarcis muralis (Common wall lizard). RNAcentral's name for it is "lncRNA (ENSPMRG00000015692.1)". The record is from RNAcentral. Lineage: Eukaryota; Metazoa; Chordata; Lepidosauria; Squamata; Lacertidae.
GUCAAAAACAAAGGAUUACAUCUCCACUAAUGGAAGGCUUACUCCCUUUCUCACAGUAUUCAACGGGAGCUGUGAAUAUUUGGUGCCACUGAUAUUACAGUGAAAGUUGCCCAGGAAUAUCUAAUGGGAUUCAGUGGCUAGGAUCAGAAUAGUCUAGCCUAACACAUUGUGGAUUGGGCUGGCUCCUGACAACCACAUUUGCCUGGGACUUGAUAAGCUCAAUAGGUUAUAUCCAGCAUGAGUCUUACUCAGAGUAGAUGCACUGGGAUUAAUGCAUAGGACAAAUUUUGUUCGAGUAAUUCAAAGUGUACUCUGGGUGUACUCUGAGUUGGUUACAACCUAGUACGUGUGAUUGUGUGAGUAAAUAUUUUCACUGACUUCUAACUUGAAGGUUCUCACUUUGACUUUUAGGCUUACAAGUCUUAGGAGCAAGUGAAAGACUAUCUACUCCCAUAUGAGCCUGUAUCAGAUGCCCUGUUCUAGGUACCACCUUCUGGGUCGCAAGCCUUCUGAGUCCCUCCCUGGGGUCUGAUUCUGUGCCCCCAUCUUCCUUCCCAUACAACUCUGGAACCUCCUGAGGACCAGGCGAGGUCUGGCUCAACCUACUCCCUGGGUUCAUCCGAGUCCAACUCCUCGAGCAUCAUCCUGAUCUGACCAGCCUCUCCAGGACAUUCUCAUGAGGCUCAUGGCAACUACCCACUCUAGAUUUUAUAUUAGCAUAAUUUUAGUUAGGGCUGUCAGGGGUCUGGUCCAAGUCCAGUUAAAAGAUAAAGAACCCUAAGCAAGCAGGAGCCUAGAAUUUGUCCACCAACAGUUAAGCGGCUGGAGAGCAGACCAACCAGGGGCACACUGGUCACU